This 2613-nucleotide unclassified non-coding RNA is filed under the name Leishmania donovani. Its description in RNAcentral is "gene:unknown". Lineage: Eukaryota; Euglenozoa; Kinetoplastea; Trypanosomatida; Trypanosomatidae. The record is from RNAcentral.
CACCCAUCGGUCGAGCUGCGCCCUGUGCUGUGAAGCUCUUGUUUCAGUGCCCUCCCUGCCGUGCCGCCGCAACCGCGCCGCGACGACGGCUGUCACGCUACCGCGGAGGACGGUGCCGCCUGAUGCCGACGCGGGCGUCGAGGCCUACCGGCACCGCGUAGCCCGCAGAGCUGACAUCGGCGGCGGCGGCGGUGAUAUGGCGGCGUCGCCUGUGGAUCAUUCCUUGUGUCGCUUUUCGUCCGUCGCGGGCGUCUUUCCCCGCUGGCGCGGCGUCUUGCCGAGAUGCGGAGGCGUGUACGACGCUUAGCGGUCCAGCGGGGAUGGUCUAUGCAUCACUUCACGGUGAACCACUGGCGCACCGCUCGCCAUCACAGGAUAGGGCCCUUUCCCGUUUGCCCGUUUUUCCCUCCCACAACGCAGAGGGAGCAACCGACCACGCUAUGUUUGCGAUCUCAGCAUUUCAUUGCGGCCGCCGCGCGGCGUGCUGCGAUGGCUUCCGCAGCCACCGUAGCAUGCCUUUCUGAGGCGGUCACGCCCUGCGACCACGCGCUCAGCCCUUGCCACUGCUGCCCGACGUGGCGUUUCUGGUCCGCGCGAAGUGCUGCGCGCACAACCGCAGCAUCGACAGCCGCUAGGCUGCUGGCGUGGGGCGGCGGGGGUAGUGGCCCAUCCGCGACAGAGGCGACACGCCAGCGAGCCAGUACCCACAUCACGCGCCAUAUCGAGCUGAUCGCCGGCCUGGCGGUUCGUGAGGUCCGCCGAGUGGCGCAAUGCGGGGGGGGGAGUGCUUGCGGAACAGCGCCAUCGCGCCCAGCGGGGGCCUGCGCCCUCCUGCACUCCCGCGGGAUUUUCAGGACGUGGGCGGUCGCUCCUCACUUCAAGCCGUGCACCGCGCGCAGCUGUUCCUCAUUCGGGCGAUGGCUCGACAACGGCCUCUCGCCGGUCUUUCCCCCCUGCAUGCCCUUCCGCACCCACACAGCCAGGCACUCAGUUCCGUCGCCACGCACGGCGCACAAGCGAUGCGGACGGAAGAGCACGGUGCUGCACGUCCUCGCCGCCCCCCAGAAGCGCACCGUUACCGCGUCAGAUGCAAUGCGCGGCACGCUCCGGCGCUCCAGCCGGGUAUCUCGUCCCAGCGGCUGCCGGACCUUCUCAGGAGGUGCAGGCCGGGGUCAGCGGCACCAGCGAACCCGUCACUCCAGGGGCCGUGUCCAGCAGCGUCGGCCCGUGGGGUGAUUGACCCAGCCCCCGAACAGCAUGCAUGUCUCGGCCACGCCCGCGCGUUGCCCGACACUACACCUUCAUGUAGCGGGUGGACAGCAGUGCCGUGUACGUGUCCAUCGGCAGGCUCCUCCUGUCUGCCAAGAGCCGGCACCGUUUGCAGAUGCUGCCAGGCUGCGUCCACCUUGUCGCGCUCCAGAUGCUCUGCUGAAAUCGCCCCGCGCUUUCUGCGUGCUGCGGACCUUCACCCGCGGCAUGGCGGCGUGUAAGGGUGCGGGCUGUCACAGGAAGCUUGCAGCAGCGCACUCGCUCCUUCCGACUGCUGCGCUCUUCCGUCCGCCUCCGCCGUCCCACCUCCCUUCCUGUCCUUUGUUGGACCCGUGGCGUCGGUACCCCGAUUUCCCGCUGUCCUGCCAGCGUGGGCUCUCUCUUCCUCCCUUCUCACCGUCCCAUGCUCCUGCUCCUGGUCAAACAUCAGGGUCACGGGGCCCAUCGUCCGCUUGUCCCGGAAACGCGCGCUGCCGACUGGGAGCCCGACUGAGGACGCAGCCCACGGCCCCCGCAAGGCUAGCGCUGCGUCGCGGCUCUCUCCUUGCGUCGCGUCGUGCCCCUUCAAUGCGGCGCCGUGCAUCGUCGACAACACGACGACCAGGGCCGGCAUCGCGCACCAGCCUGGGCAAUACGGGCCGGCCGUGAGGAUGCGGACCAGGUGGGCGCUCAGCGCGGCCCACAUCACACCGCCCUUGAGCAAAUGGCGCCGAGAGCGGUAGUUUCUCCCUGCGCCGUCGAGAGGGCGCUCACCGGGCCGGCGGUCGCUGGGCGGCGCUGGCAUCCCCAUGGCACCGGCGAGCAAGUGCCCACGCACUCAGGCCGGGGGCCGACCGCAGCCGACGGCGCCGCAGUAGAAGGUGCGAUGCCCGGCACUCCGCUGUUCGAACGCGAGGAAGCGACUGAGAAGAGCGCCCGUAUGUCUUCGUCCGUCGGUGCCCGCGCACGCGAGGGUGCGCCUCAGAGGCAACGAUAUCCAUGCCCUUCCACACAUGCCGCAGCGCGUCCCCUGUCCGCACCCGCUCCUUCUCCCGGCACCGGGCGCGGGCGCCUUCCACCCAUCUGCUGACAGCCGCUUCGAGGCAGCUGCCCAGGGCGGGGUUCUCGAGGCGACGGACGCACUCCUCCGGCACCCGCACGCCCUCCCGCAGCAUCAUGAUCAUUCAAACACCCGCAAUCAGUCCAUCGGAGCCAGCGGAAGAGGGGCCCCCUCUGCAACGUCACCACCACAGCCGCAUAAACAAUAUCCCUGUCUGGCAGACUUCCUCUCGCGUGUAUGGGAGGGACUGGAAUGGAUGUGGGGAUCAAUGAAAUGUGGUAACGAGUAGACUCGUGCGUGCAUUC